RNAcentral lists this long non-coding RNA (1838 nucleotides) under Mytilus galloprovincialis (Mediterranean mussel). The record is from RNAcentral. Lineage: Eukaryota; Metazoa; Mollusca; Bivalvia; Mytilida; Mytilidae.
AUUGUCAUUGUAGUCUUUUUUGCCAUUUUUAUACGCCCGUCGUCAAUGAAAUCCUUACUUUCAUCACCUACUUCCUCAUUUAGAUCAUAACUUUUAGUAGAGUCACUUUCACCAUCUUCACUUUCCCUGUUAUCUUCUUGCUGCUCCUCAUUGCCAUUGUAGUCUUUUUUGCCAUUUUUAUACGCCCGUCGUCUUUCAAACAACGGGCGUAUCAUGCGCUAAAGCGCAGCCCUUUAUUUAUAUAUACUAUAACCAUCAUAUUAUAUAUCUACCAUAGUUCAAAAUGUAUAUAAUAAAAAAGAAGAUUUGGUAUGAUUGCCAAUGAGACAAUUCUUCACAAGAGACCAAAAUGACACAGAAAUUAACAACUAUUGGUCACUGUAUGACCUUCAACAAUGAGCAAAGCCCAUACCCUAUAGUCAGCUAUAAAAAGCCCCGAAAUGACAAAAUGUAAAACAAUUCAAACGAGAAAACAAACUUUUUUAUUUAAAAAAAAUGAAGAAAAACAAAUAUGUAACACAUAAACAAACAAUAAUCAACUUUGAGAAUAAACACUGUAGAGUUGAAAUGAGGCUUAAACAUAUAAAAAUGUUUUAUAAAAAUGAUGAAUUUACAAUCAUUUGAUUCAUGAUAUAUACAGCAGCUGAAUAAAAUUUAAAGGUUUCCAAAAGUAUGUAAUUAUGCAAAUUUUUUCAAGAAGAAAAACCCAAUGUGUUGAAAUUGUCUUCUAAACAUAGUUUAACAUUACAACAUUCUUUUCAUGGAAGUAAAAAUUAAUCAUUUUUGUCUUGCUGUGACACCUGUCGUGUGUCCAUAAUUCCUUGACCCUACCUUUUUUAGUGUGCAUCAACUGAUUUAAAAAUCUGUAUAUGCUGUAUUGCUGAGUGAAUUUUUUACUAAUUAUGAGUAAUACGAUAGCUAUAAAUAUGGUGUUUGGUCUGGUGCACACAAUAGACCACUUUCAAGUUAAUCUGUCAUCAGAAAAAACUCGUCAAUUAUGCGUGCCUUUAUGACGUCAUUUACCAGAUAGAGGGGAUCGCCUGUAUCCCUGCACUAUUAACGUUUUUCAAGCAUCUUAGUGAUUAUCAUUGUGCAGGAUAAACUAGAAAUAAUGUUUCUUUUUUAAGUACUCAUUCACAAUUCCAUAAUGACAGCAGUGUCAAUUAUAAGAAUUUAAUUUGCCGAAUAAUUCGUGCUGUAUAUAGUAGUAUUGUUUUCCAUCCACUUACUCAACAUUGGAACAGAAGUGACGAGUUUUUGACGGAAACGCAUCGAAACUCGAAAGUUGUCUAUUGCAGCAGGUGUAUAGAAUGAUUGAAAGGUGUAUUUAUUCCUCUCACAGGGUACAUCUGUCCUUGAUGAUAUUUAGUUAUGUGAUAAUUGUUGCAAAAUAUUUAUCUUGAGGUAUUUUAACAUAAAUAAAUUAUGACAUGAAAGCAGGAAGACAUUUCAGUGUGAAAACUCUUGUUAAAAAUCUAAAAUGUUGCCUCACGUAAAUAUUGUUGAUUUUUUUAAUAAACAGUCUGUUUUUGUGCAGUUUUUUUGUAAAACUUUUAUAAUUAAUGUAUAUAAAUGCCUCCACUCCUGUUUAAAAACAUUUACAUAAUAUAUAGUUUUUGUCUAAAAAUUAAUCUACUUGUCAUACUCAUGUACCAUUAUGUAUUGCACAAAUAUGUGUUUUGCUUUUAUAAAUAGUACUCUUUGUUACAUGAAGUGAUUGGUAUGUCAGUGUGUGAGUGUUUUAGGUAUAGAUGUGUUUGCAAUGCUUGUUCUUGUUAAUACUUGUUAUUUAUAAUUAUGGUGCUUUUUAUACAUUAUUUCUAUUUUCAUAAUAAAAA